GAUGAAGAACGUAGCGAAAUGCGAUAAGUAAUGUGAAUUGCAGAAUUCAGUGAAUCAUCGAAUCUUUGAACGCACAUUGCGCCGCCAGUAUUCUGGCGGGCAUGCCUGUUCGAGCGUCAUUUCAACCAUCAAGCCCUGCUUGCGUUGGGGUCCUGCGGCUGCCCGCAGGCCCUGAAAACCAGUGGCGGGCUCGCUAGUCACACCGAGCGCAGUAAUACAUCUCGCUUUGGGCGUGCGGCGGGUUCUUGCCGUUAAACACCCCCUUUUUACCAAGGUUGACCUCGGAUCAGGUAGGAAUACCCGCUGAACUUAAGCAUAUCAAUAAGCGGAGGA
Molecule: unclassified non-coding RNA, 333 nt
Filed under: soil metagenome
Description: partial contains 5.8S ribosomal RNA, internal transcribed spacer 2, and large subunit ribosomal RNA
Rfam family: 5.8S ribosomal RNA (bases 1-119)
Source: RNAcentral